Molecule: RNA transcript, 4703 nt
Organism: Chelmon rostratus (copperband butterflyfish)
Lineage: Eukaryota; Metazoa; Chordata; Actinopteri; Chaetodontiformes; Chaetodontidae
Gene: acap1
Gene name: ArfGAP with coiled-coil, ankyrin repeat and PH domains 1
Exons: 23
Source: RefSeq, a predicted model, not a curated record
AGUGAAGUACUCCAGUCGGCACCCUUGGGGAGAAACCAUCCAAUCAACCGGCUACCAUCUGAUUUGAUCUGAUUCAUUUGGGAAUAUCGAUCCGUGCCGAUCAAUAAGGAUACUUCAUUCCCGAGGAAACUUUGCGCAAAGCUCUCUGCAGCAUCCUCUCCACCGGCACGCGGACGAACCUGCGUUUUUCUCGCCUAUAAAAUGGUCAUAACGCAACUAACACCCCCCUGCGCUCACUCAUAAGUGCCCACGGGUCGCGUUUUGGCUCGGAUGCGCGGCAGAGGAGGUCCGGAUCAGGCACACGGUGUCCCCUCAACAGAGAGGAGAAGUGAGCAGGACGAGCCGCGGGGGGAAUACAAAUUCUAGCUGUGAAAGAGAAACGUCCGACGAGAAUAAUGAGGCGAGCUGCCGGCACGGAGCGCUAACACCGAGGAGAUUCAGCUUAUUUCCUGCCAGGCUGCCGCUGCUGUCCGCCUCCAGCCCCGAAGAGGAAUAAAACAAGACAUCCAGUGAAGCGUUGGUGAGAUUUAAACGGAGGGAUGACAGUCAAGCUGGACUUUGAGGAGUGUUUGAAAGACUCUCCGCGCUUCAGAGCUGAAAUUGAGGUGGUCCAGAACGAUGUGAGUGAACUGGAGACGCGAUUAGACAAGCUGGUGAAACAAUGCCAGGCCAUGCUGGAGGCAGGCAGGGUCUACUGCCAGACCAGCAAGGGCUUCGUCAACGGCCUCCGGGAGCUGGGACACCACUGCUCCGGGGACAAGAUGAUGGAGGAGUGUUUGGACAAAUUUUCCAAAAAGCUGUCUAUCAUCUUGGAGGCACAGGGGGACAUGAUUGAGACCACGCAGAAGUCAGUCAAGACGAAGCUGCAGAACUUUGUCAAAGAGGAUGUGCGUCGGUUCAAGGACGUGCGCAAGGAGUUUGAGCGCGGCAGCGAGUCCCUGGAGGGGGCGCAGGUGAGGAACGCUCAGGCCCCACGGGGGAAGCAGCACGAGGUGGAGGAGGCGAGCAAUGCUCUGCUCAAUGCACGCAGGGCCUUCCGGUCUGAGGCCCUGGAUUACGUCCUGGAGAUAAAUGUCAUCGAAGCCAAGAAGAAGACUGACAUUCUGAUGGCAGUGCUGUCGCUGAUGGAGGCCCAGGCCCAGUUCUUCCAGCAUGGCCACCAGUCUCUGUCAGAGCUGGACGAUUAUCGGCAAAAACUGAACGAAGAGCACACUCAGUUUGUCCUAAACUCUGCCCGGGAGAAGAGAGAUAUGGAACAAAGACACUGUGCAAUAAAGAAGAAGGAUGUGUCCUACGAUGAUUCCAUCAUGGACUUCAAUGCCGACGCAGCUAACGGGAUCGCCAUGGAGGGAUACCUCUACAAGAGAGCCAGCAACGCCUUCAAGACCUGGAGCAGGCGUUGGUUUUCAAUUCAGAAAAAUCAGCUGGUGUAUCAGAAGAAAUUCAAGGACCAGCCUACAGUUGUGGUGGAGGACUUGCGUCUUUGCACAGUCAAGCCCUGCACUGAAAAUGAGAGACGAUUCUGCUUUGAAGUGGUCUCGCCGUCAAAGUGUUGUUUGUUGCAGGCAGAUUCAGAAAGGCAGCAGCAGGCGUGGAUCAGCGCCGUCCAAAACAGCAUCGCCUCAGCCUUUCAGGAGCGCAGGGAGGACCCACACAGCCCAAGACAGCGUUGCAGCUCGAUGUCUCUGAGCAGUUUGGGAGGAGGGGGAGGAGGAGGAGGAGCGGAUCAGGAGAGCGAGGGCCGCAAGGCGCUGGAGGAGGUUCAGGCGAUCCCAGGGAACAAGCAGUGCUGUGACUGCGGGGAGCCCGGCCCUGAUUGGGCCUCCAUCAACCUGGGCAUCACGCUUUGUAUCGUCUGCUCAGGGAUACACAGGAGCCUGGGAGUCCAUUUCUCCAAAGUCCGCUCCCUCACUCUGGACUCAUGGGAGCCAGAGCUCGUUAAGUUGAUGUGUGAAUUAGGAAACACAGUAAUCAACAGGAUCUACGAGGCCCGGAUCGAUGAGAUCACCAUCAAGAAGCCGCACCCCUCCAGUCCCAGAGGAGACAAGGAGUCGUGGAUCCGAUCAAAGUACGUUGAGAAGAAGUUUAUCCAAAAGCUGCCCGAGACUGGCAGGAACCCCCCGCUGAGGCGAUCCAGUGCCAGGAGGAACAGAGCGACCACGCAGGACCGGCCUGUACAGCGACCGCCGCUCAAGCCCAAACCAAACCGAGCCACCCUGCCUCGGGUCACAGGGCUGAGCCCCAGUGACCUUGUCCAGAAAAACAAUACAAGCUUUCACAAAGACGUGGACGAGGAAGAGGAGGAUCUGAGCGGACUUCAUCCCGGGGCGCUGCUGUACCGCUCGGCGGCCCUGCAGAACUUCCCCGUCAUGGCCGACGCCCUGGCCCACGGGGCCGACGUCAACUGGGUGAACGUGGGCGAGGAGUCCAGCACGCCGCUGAUACAGGCCGUCACAGCAAACGCCCUGGCAGCCUGCGAGUUCCUGCUGCAGAACGGCGCUAACGUCAACCAGGCGGACAGCAACGGGAGGGGGCCGCUUCACCACGCCACCAUCCUGGGUCACACUGGUUUGGUUUGUCUCUUCCUGAAGCGGGGAGCAGACUACAACGCCAGAGACAAGAACCAGAAAGACCCCAUAACGAUCGCUGUGGACAACGCCAACGCUGACAUCGUCACUUUGCUGCGGAUCGCCAAGAUGAACAAGGAGAUGCGGGAGAUGGACGGAGCGUUCGGCCAAUCAGGUCACUCAGGGGGGCAGGGAACUGGGGGUUCAUUGGGCGGGACUGGAGGUGGACUGGCCCACACCAGGAAGAGUCUCCAGGCUAUUAAAAACCAUAUAAGUGGCUGGGCUCUGGGAGGGCAGAAUGAUUAAUGGAGAUAGAAAUCAGCCCAGGAGGAGAGACAGGAAGUGAGACUGGAAUUAGCUUGUUUUUGGUUGUAAGCUAAAAGGAAAAUGACAUGUUUUCGUCGAGCUGUUACGCAUCAGAAAUCACUGCUUUUGCAGUGUCAUGUGAUGUUUAUCUGCAGCGUCUGCAGGGAAAUUAUCCCGGCCUCCCACACAUAUCAUUAAAGGAAGUGUGCGUCAUCAUUUCUAAUAGAGAAAAAAAGGAAAAUCGCCUUCAUUGAGACAGCAUCAAAUCCAGUUCUUAAAGAGCCAGAACACAGGGUACGACAGCAUAAAGGCAGAGUCUCAAGGACGUAACUGAAAACAGACGUAUUGAUCAGCCAAGACAGGGAGGUGUCCUGUGAAACAAAUCGUGAGAGACAUUCUUGCACUUUGAAUUACAAAUGCACAUCAUGCUGCACUUUGAAAACCCACAAAAUCUCCAAAUACCUUGUCAGUGGAGAGUGCAACACGUGGGUGUUUGCUGUUGUAUAACUGAAGCUUAAGAAAAUGUAUAUAUAAUAGAACUGCAUCAAGCCUACUUUUUCUGAUAAUGUUUAUGUGGGAUAUUUUUAUAUACAGUAUGUACAGUGUUCUGGCUUUAUCAUCGUUUUUAUUGAUGUGUGUUGGACUGUCUUUUUCAGUCCAGUUUUAUAAGCUAAAUAUAAUGUUGGGUUUGGUUCUGAAGGACAAUGUUUUCCUGCUAUUCUGUGAAUAGUGACGCAGUUUGUUAUAUAUUUGUAUUUAUCAGGAUUUCAUGCUGUCAGCCAGGUCCUGAGCUUAAGAUCAGCAGUGGGUUUUGUUUGCAUUUUGUCAUGUUGGCUUCUUUUCAAGCUGCAAAGUCCAUUCUUUCAUGAUUGUCCUUUUGGUCAGCGUCCAGGCUUUUGUUAAGUUUCUUGCUGUAUUCGGUUUACAAUUCCAGCUUCACUCGUGAAGGAAUGGAUGUGAAGUGAUGCUUUUGUCUGCUUGAGAACAACUGCUGGUCAGUAUUUGACGUGCUGUGCUUUAUCGUUGUGUGUCUUUGUCGUGUGCACUCAUGUGCCUUUGCCUUCUGCCCGCUGAGAUGUCCAACUGGUCUCAACUGCUUGUGCAGUGUGCCACCUACUGCAAACUAAGAGGUGAUGAAACCUACCAGGACAUCUUCCGAGACUUUUCACACAUGGCCUCCAACAACCCCGAGAAGCUCAAACGCCGCAGUGCAGACCCCAAAACUUAACUGGUUGUUGCCUCCUCUUCAUCCCGCUGUACAAUGCCACGUUCCUUUCAAACACACAUACUGAAAACAUGCUAAUAUCCGGCUCACAGGCAUGUGGACACACACAUUUUCCCUGGCUACCUGCCACAUGUUCAGUCAUAGCUCAGCUGGUGUUGACUUCAGAGAGGAUGAACACACCAAACAGUGAAUUCUUUGUGUGGACACGUCAGACCAGAACAAUUGUACCCUAGUGGGAACACUGGAACAGCUUUAUGAGACCAGCAUGAGGUGUCUUUAUGCGUAGCAGAGGGUAACAGCAUCACUCUGCCAAGAUUUCCUAAUUAAAUCCUGUAAAUCUGUUGUUUUUUUAAAGAUAAAAUCUGUUUUUUUAUGUUCCUCUGCCAUUUCUUUUAAGUUGUUACAUGAAAAAAAAUGCAAAAUUGCAAAUGGACUUAACUUUUGUAAAGAGUAAAAUUUUUACAUUACACACACAAUUCCACUGAAUUGUAAUGUAAACAUGUUUUUACAUUUGGGACAUUUUUAGACUCUGUUAAUGACUGUUAACAUUAAACUGUAUGAGGUACUUGAGAUUCAUGAACAAAUAAACCACAAUACAAACCUAA